AAAAUUCUCAUAUAUAGUAUUUAACCUAAAUUAUUUUGUAUGUAAUUCAUUUUAAAAUUUUUAUAUACUAUUUAUUUUUAGGUUCUUAUACAUUAUCCAUUUGAAAACCCUUUUUAUAUUCUUUCUUUGUAAUUUUUCCAUUUGUUGUUAUUCAUUUCGAAAUUAUUCGUAUAUAUUAUUUUGUUUCAUUCUUUUGCAAUUAUUAAUGUCGAUCUCUUAAAAUGGUGUGCUUUGUGAAUAUUUAAUUCAUGUAUUAUUAUUGUAAUUUGUUUGUUAAGAUUAUUAUGGCUAUUAUAGUAUAUGUCGAAACCAUUUUUAAAUCGUGUUUUGGAAAAUAGGAAUCGACUUUAAGAAAAAUGAAAACGGGAGUCGCCACCAACCUUUUUAGGUGUGAUUGGAUCACCUUUUAAAAUAUUUUGUUUAAAAAUCACUAGUUUUGGUCUACGAAAUCAGAAAAUGGGUUCGGGAGCCGGUUACGUACGAGGAAGGGUUAGCACCCUCGUAACGCCCAAAAAUUGGUACCUAAUUGAUUAUCAAAAUGUCUUUAAUGUCGGAAAUUUAAAAAAUUUAAGAUGCAAUCCUUUUUUUUAAAUAUUUUUUACUUUGAAAAUUAAGGUUCACUUGUAUCAAAUGAAUUAAAAUAUUACAUCCAAUAAGUUAGGACACAAUAUUUUAAAGACAUUUGACACUAAGUUAGUCCUUUUGGAAAUCCCUAUCUCGAAACAACGAAACGUCAUAUCCAGUAAGUUAGGACACAACGCUUUGAAAUUCCAAGAUAGUUGCUUGCAUUUUGAAAACCUUAAAAACUUAGAAGGGUGCUUGAUUAUUUGAACUCAACGAGGAAAGUUGCAACCCAGUAAGUUAGGGCACUACUUUUCUUGAAACUUUCAAACACCAAGCAUUGCCUUUAUUUUUUGAAAACUUUAGAGUCUUGUUUUUAAAACCGAUGCAUGAAGGAGCAUAUACGAGAUAACAUGCUAUAAUAAUAGGUAAAUAAAAGCACAAUAGCAUAAAUAUCAUACAUUAACUAACAUAUAUAUAUAAGAAAUAAAACAUGGCAAAUUUUAAAUAAGUAAAAUAUAAAAAAACAAUAUAUAUAUUUAAGAAGAAUAGGUAAAAACACAUAAACAUGUAAUUCAACAUAUAUUUAAACAUAUUAAUAAAAAAUGAUGCAUGAUAUACAAUUUAACAUAAACAUUCUUAAAAUAAUAUCAACAUACAUGUCAAUUCUAAAAUAUGAC
This 1241-nucleotide long non-coding RNA is filed under the name Gossypium barbadense (sea-island cotton). RNAcentral describes it as "long non-coding RNA (GBAR_LNC005930)". Lineage: Eukaryota; Viridiplantae; Streptophyta; Magnoliopsida; Malvales; Malvaceae. The record is from RNAcentral.